AACAAAACUCACCAGGAGUCCGGCCAGGAGCUGGAAAGGGGCUCUCGGCGUGGAGGCCAUUGCAGAGGGCGGGAAGGGAGGCAGGCAGAGGCUGAGGCAGCGGCCGCCCGGGCGGAAAGGCGACCAGGAACAACUUGAGAAAAUGCAGGUCACUUCUGGUGUGAGAGAACUGGCUGUCUGCAAGGAGGUUGCCCAGAGGACGUCCAGAUGUUUUGAUGUUUUACCAUCCUUGUGGGAGGCUUCCCUCAUGUCCCCGCAUGUGGAGCUGGAGCUGACAGAGGGAGCUCACCCACUCUCUCCAGAUUCGAACUGGCGACCUAUCAAUCAGCAGUUCUGCCAGCACAAGGGUUUAACCCAUUGCGCCACCGAGGGCUCUGGUUAACAUUGUGGGUUUUUAUGAAGUUAAAUCAGAGAUUGUGGGAAUACAACAGAAACAAUAGAACUGAAUAAAAACCUUUAAAAUGUGCCAAUAAAUACUAGAUGCUUAAGAUCAAGAUGCUAAACUAAUGAUAUGCUUAUUAUUUCAGGCAGAUAAUUUGUGGCAUACAUUCUACUACAAUGCAUUUUAACAGCUGAAACAAUGCCAACAGUUGUGACAAUUCAUAGGGUAUUUGCAUUCCAAUACAUGCUAGAUUUACAGAAGAAUUACCUCUCUGUCCAGAUGUGGUGAUGCUACAGUGAUACACCCUGUAUCUGGAUGUAUGGCAAAUAGGGCAGAGGUCUGAGGACUUAGAAGAUGUUGGGACAAAAUUCGGUAUUUCAGUUUGGUAUGUAGAGUGUCUGGCUCAUCUUUGUCUGUUGCUGUCACUUGUCCAACUAGUGUUCCUGCAUGUACAAGGCAUCAAGUUUAAAUUUCUUUCUUUCAUAAGAAAGUUUACAAAAUGUUAUUUAAACAUUAAAUACCUAAAUCCAGGUCUUUUUCAGAAAUUAUUUAUUUUUCUUAACUUUAAGACAUCUAUGGAGAAAUGCAAAAUCUCAUGACAUAUGACUAAUGAGAUUAAGAGAGAAGAUUCUCAUUGCUUUUUUUAAUUUGAUAGUACAAUCAAAUAUUAACUAAUUUCAACUUAUUUCAAAUAAACAAAAAGAUACACCAAGGAUCUCUUACUACACGUUGUUUGGGGAAAGUGUAUGUAUGUGUUCCCUUCAUAUUAAGAACAAAACGUUGAAAUAUAGGAAUUUAAGAUCUGAAAGCUGAACUCUUUCCCUUUCUUUCCCUUUCUCUGAAAAAAAAAAGUUUCAAAUACCAAGAAGUUAUCAAGCAAAAUACAAUUUCUUGAUUCAUGUAUAGAUACCAGUAUAGGUAGCUUUCUUUCUGAAUAUUCAUGGUCUUGUAUAUGAAUGGGAAAUUUCCAUCCAUUGUAUCUUCGAUCUAUGCAUGUUGUUUUCAAGUGAUAGUAAAAGUUCAAUGGAUCUAACUUAAGAAUUUUGAGUUGAACAAGAGCAUGACCAGUACUGGGCCCUUUUCCUUCAGAGGUUUGGCAUUAAUGGAAUUUCCAUUUAUCUCAGAGAAGCUGAGAGAGAAGCAGUAAUAAAAUCAAAAAUGGAUUGACUACCAUCAUAGCAAUAGAUACACAGGAAUCAUAGCUGUUGUUACUGUGUUAUUACAUUAAUAUAAUUUUAAAAAACAGAGGAAGUAUAGUAUCAAGCAUGUACAUAUGUGCGCACAAACAUUAUGUGUGAACAGGGAGUUGCCUUCAGAAUGUGGAUAUAAACUUGCAAUUAAAGCAACAAUUCACAUUGUAAUUUUCUACUAUGACAGGAAACUCGUUUGAGUGAACAACAAUAAUAAGGAAACAAAACAUUAUCAUAAUUGUCACCAGCAGCAUCUUGAUUCCACACUUUACAGAUGUUUGAGAGUUUGGGCGAUCAAUUCUUCAAAUUCUUUCAAAGAAUCUAGGAUUCAGAUGGACAAUGAAGUAUGUUCCAAAUAGUAUAACUUUUGUGCCAUUGUGAUCCCAUCUAUUUCAAACUUAUGCUUUCUUAGUUCAUUAGUAAUUGCUAUCAGAGCACCAAUCACCAGUGGAACCACAAUUAUUUUCUUUUUUGCAGAAGCACUGAAUUUCAAUGUAUAAUUCUUAAGAUCUCAUCAUCUUUUCUUCCUCUUUAUCCUCAGUACUCCAUCCCCUGAAAUUACCCUACUGAUAAUAUGACAUACAUGUUGCUGUUUGUGGUGUUGUUGCUGCUACUACUAUUAUCAACAUUUUGAUGCAAGCACUAUUUAGAAUAAAUGCAGAAGAAGCAAAGAAGCAGGCCAAAGAGAAGCAGAAUCCAGACAAGUCUUCCCAGCAUGGUACCUUUACAUCUUGCCGCAGCUGGUAACACCAUUUCCAAAGAUUCAGAAUCCAAACAGUGUAGGGAUUAUCAGACACCAAACUUUUAUGUCUAGUGAUGGUCCCCAAGUGACAGAGGCUGAAAGGAGAAAAAAGGAUGCUCUCAAGCCACCAAAGCAGCAGCAGCAGCAGCAACAACAACAACAGAUAGUGAUGCAAAAAUGUGAUGCAGAAAGUGAUUGCAACUUUCUUCUUCCUUGCCUCUUUUUUGCUUUGACUAACUAAGGUAAAAAGCUGGUUGUUAAUUCAGCUCUCCUGCCAAAUUUAAUAGGGCUUGUCCUGAAAGGGACUUGUGGAACGUGCUUUUUCUCAUUUCAGUGUUCCCCUCCCCUACUGAAAUGCUGGGGGGAGGAGGACGAUGGACAAAUUGGGCCUUAAGGCUUCCCCUUCCCUCCCCAGACACUUAGGAUGAAUUAUUUUUGGUUUCACAGAAUCCCACCAAACUAGCAAUAAGAAAUACCAGAGGAAUGAGCCUCCAGCUGAGGCCAACCUGUUCUUCUCUACCUGUUGAAGGCCUCAGCCUCUAGCCAUGCCACCCUGCCUCUUCCUUGCCUUCUUGAUUGUCUAGGUUCUUAUUAUAGUAAAUGAAACAAAAACAACUCCCAUAUAUAAAACAGACUCCACAACUUUACUUAAUCUGGUCUUCCUUCUCAUUACCUUGGAUUACCAGAUAUUUCUUGGUUAGUGAUGUUUUUCUGGGACAUGUGAAGAACUUAGUCAGAUUUUAUUCGUGCUUUCAUUAAGUAUUAUUGCAGAAAUAUGUGAUUUGCACCACUCACAAAAGGGACAGACAAAAUGUGUGGAUUUUGUAUACAAAAUCCACACAUUUUAGGAACAGGUUUGUUCCUAAAAUGCACUGGCCAAAAUGUUCUCAUUUAUAAAGCUUAUACAGGCUGGGUGGGGUGUGUACAGCCUAGAUGCUGUUGGACUGCAGUGGCCAGCAGAAGUAGCCAGCCAAGCCAAAGGUAAUGAUGAAAGUUUUACUUCAAUAUCUGGCACUUCUCUGGAAUUCUUUUUCUAGGGAACCAAGAAUGACCCCCUCCCUCUGUCGUUCUGGUAGCAACCUAAAACCUUUUCAUUCAGGCAGAUUUUUAAAGAGGAAUGUUUUUUUUAAAAUGAGCCAGCGGUGUUUUAUGCAUUUAAAUAGAAUUUAGUGGUUUAAACUAUUUGCUUUCAAUUUUUAAUACUCCUAGGUUUAAUUAUGUGGUAGUUUUUAUAUACUUUAGGUUUUUAAUUGUACAUUGUAUUGUUUUUAGUACUGUUCACCAUUUUAAGCCUCUUUUAAUAAUAGAUACCACAGGGAUCUAUUCCCCCCAGUGGCUUCAUGUAUAUGUUAAACAACAUAUGUAAAAAUGCUAUUUAACAUAUACAUGAAACCACUGGGAGAGAUCAUCUGGAGAUCUGGAAUGCAGUGCCAUCUAUAUGCAGAAGGACCCACCUUUACAACUUUUUCCUUCUCCAAGCCAAGAAGGCUGUCCUGGUCCCAAACCAGUGUCUGUAAACUGAAUGAAGGUAAACACAUUGAACCUUAAUGUAGACAAAACAGAGGUGUUCCUGGUUAGUCAGAAGGCAGACAAGGGAAUAGGGAUUCAAACUAUGUUAUAUGUUAGUUGGGGUUACAUUCCCUCUGAAGACACAUGUUCACAGUUUGAGUGUACUCAGGUCUGAAUCUGGAGACCCAGAUUUCUGCAAAUGCCAGGAGUGCCUCCCCAUAUUUAAAAUCUGAGCACCAGAUGCCCCUCUUCCUUGAGACACCAGAUCUGUCCAUUAUGGUACAUGCCUUAGCUACAUCCCAUUUGAAUUACUGUAUUUACUCUACUUGGAACUGCCUUGCAAGAGUGUUCAGAAACUUCGGCUGGUCCAAACAGCUAUGGCCAUAUUGUUAAUUUAGGCUGGCUAUAGGAAGCAAAUACCUCCCUUGCUGAAACAGCUCUAUUGGCUACCAGUUUGUUUCUGGGCAUAAAUCCAAGUGCUGGUUAUGACCUAUAAAGCUCUAUAUGGUUCAUGUCCAAGUUAUUUGGCAGAUCAUAUCUCCCUACAGGAACCUGCCCCAACUCUGAGAUCCUUAGGAGAGGCCUCAGCGCCGCCACCAUUGCAAGCCUGGUUGGUGGGGAUGUUAACAAGAACCCUUCUCGGUAGCUGUCCCUGGACUCUACCUGCCUGGGGAAGUUGGAAAGGCCCCCUUCAUGUUGUCCUUCCAAUGACAAACUAAAACCUUUUUAUUCAGAACAAGGUUUUAAAAUAGAAAAAAAAGAACAGGCCAGAAAGUCUGUAUGGUGUAUGAAUUGUUUCUAAUAGUGUUAUAUUUACUUGUUUUAUGUGAUUUUAUUUAAUUGUUUCAGUAAUGGUAAUAUGUAAUUUUAUUUUAAUAUUUAUAUUCAUAGAUUUUUAAAAUUGUAUUUUUAAAACAUUUCAGCCACUUUGGGUUUCAGCAAUAAAUGCAGGGAAUGAUGGUGAUGAUGAUGGUACAUACAUAUUUUACAGAUCUAUCCAUUUAUGACAAUUAGUUAUUAAAAAGAGUCCUGUAAUCCUUUUGUGUCCUUGUUUCAGAGAAGUCUGAAUUCAAUGUGCACACUAAGCUAAGAACCAUCUCUGAUUUAAUUUUGCCAGUAUCAGUUCAUCAGUUGAGGUUUUCAGGCUGCAAGAGGCAGAAGGAAGGCCUUAGGAAAGCUAUGUUGAUAUUGCGUUAGUCCGGGUCACUAGGCUGUAAGGAGAGCCCUGUAAGAAGAGCCUAUCUAAUCCAGAAUUCUGUUCACACAAUUGCCUAUCAGUUGUCUAUGGGAGGCUGAGGAUUAGAACAAGAGUGCUCAUGUAUCUGACAGAUAAUAAUGCAUAAUAUAGAUCCUUGCAGGACCACAUAUCUAUUAGUAUUUAUUUACUGGAGUAUUUUAAAGUUGUAAAGCAGGAUUAAGGACAUAUCACUAACAACUAAUCCCCAAACUACCAUAUAUAGUCGAGUAUAAGUUGACCUCAGGACAUAAAAGAAUUACAUGGUCAAAAUUUCUGAUUUCUAUAUGACCUGUAGAAAAAUCGGGGGUAAUUCUACAAAUAGGAAAGUGCCAGUGUUUUGUCAGGGGGGGCAGUUGACCCUGACUGCCACUGCUUUUUUCUGACUCAGGCAUUCAAAGAGGCCGGAAACAGUGCAGUGGUGAAUAUAGUAGAGGUAUCAGGGCAUCUUUUAGGUUGUCCAGGAUGGACUAAUAGUCUGGAGCCCUCUAAGUUGGCUAAGGCACAAACACUGGAGAGCCAUAGGUUGAAGAGGCCUGGUAAGCUUUCACCUUUGUCCACUCUACUCAGAAAGCAAGUGGUUCUUUUUUCCAGUCAAGUGGUUUUGGGACUGAUUUAUUGACUAAAAUUUCUAGACUUAUACAUGAGUGUAUAGGUCACUAUAUCAACAACAUUCAGCUUUGGCCCUACCCUUCAAUUGCUAUCAGAUGUUGUUGCUUGUGCUAGACCUAAAGAUGACAUUUUAAAGAGUGAUAUACUUGGACAAGGAGCUAGACAAGAAGCACAGCUUUUGCAUUAGAACAACAUUGCAUCCAUUUGGUUAUUUCAGUUGAGAUACAAAGUUAAAUUAGACGGCAUUCUAAUUGACAUUUUAAUCAUUAUAAGCCUGAAAUUUUCAAAUUAUACAUGUAGACUUAUACCUAUAAAGAUCUUUUCAGUUGUUUACCAAGCACAACAAUAAGCUUUCACAAAUGGUGUCUGCUUCUGCAAUGAGUUCCUCAAAACAGUAGAAAGCCUAACUCUGUAUUAUUCUGCGGAGGAAAAAUAAAGCCUGAUGUGUCUGUAAGUUCUGGAGUCUACCCGAUUCAGCAUAAAAGAAGUUCCAAUUGAAGUGUAGAAAUAACAUGUGGUCCUGAUCUAGGAAGAGGAGCCCAUGUACACAAUCAGUCUUUCAUGAAGUGCAAAUACAGAUGUUCAUCUGGAUACACCUCCACAGCUGCCUCUUGCAUUUGCAUGUAUGGACUGAACUGGCAUUGCUAGUUUGUAUAAUACCUGCUCAGACAAUAUUGUGUUUUUCCUUCCAUUUGUUGCUUUGUUAAACAGGAAGAGAGGAUUGAAAUUGGUCCAAAUAUUAAUUAAUGUGAUCUUGGGAAAUCAUUUGGGUAUAGUUGCCAUCAUCUGAAAUUUCAUAUUUGUCAUCUGUAUUUGAACACUCCAAAAUAGGUGUGGCCCUGUAUAGAUUCUUUCACUCACCUCUUGGGCAUGUUCUUUGGAAGUAAUCCACAUCCUAAGCCUAAACUUGCCUGUGCUUGUAUUAUGUUAGUUUCAGCACAUAUUUGACACUGAAGAUACUUUUUGAGAUUAUAGCAUAUUGUUCCUGCCAAGGAUUUCAGAUAAUUCAUCAUGAUUUGGUAAUGUGUAUAUUCUGUUUGAGUACCAUUUAUUAAAGUCUGGCUGCAUUUUUUUUAAAAGAACAACUCAAAUAAUGUAUGUAGAUGAAGGGAUGAGCCUUUUUGUCUCUUCACACAGAAUCUCUGCAAUUAAAACGGUAUACCAAUUGUCAUGGCUGAUUUUUUUCUAAUCGUUUCAGUGUAGCUGAGUCUAGUGUUUUACCUUCACUAGAACCGCAGUAGAAAUGCUGCCAAAAAUAUCUCUCCUUGUUGAUCUCUGCCACUGAAAAAUCAAAUCUGUUGUUAUCUACAGAACCCUGAUAUGGAGUUUCUGUCUUUGGCUGCAUCUACGCUGUAGAAUUAUAGGCAGUCCCCAAGUUACAAACAUCUGACUUACAAAUGACUCAUAGUUACAAACAAGGGUGAAACAUCAGGAAGUGAGAGAAAUCUACCCCUAGGAAAGGAAAUUGACUCCUGAAAGAGUUAUCCUCAAGAAAAGGCAUCUCAACUGAAGCUUUCUCAUCAAUCCUUGUUUCCACAACUUUUAGCUCUCCAAAGCUAAAAAAAAACAUAUGUUUUUGGCUGGAGUUACAUUUUAAAAACAUACCUGUUAUAACUUACAUACAAAUUUAGUUUAAGAAUAUACCUACAGAACCUACCUUGUUUGUAAAUUGGGGACUACUUGUAAUGCAGUUUGACACUUAACUGCCAAAGCAGAAUGUUAUAGAAUCAUAGGAGUUGAAGUUAUAGCCUUCUUUGUCAAAGAGUGCUGGUGUCUCAGCAAACUACAAAUCCCAGGAUUCCAUAGCAUUGAACCAUGGCAGUUGCAGUUAGUAUCAAACUGCAGUAACUCUACAGUGCAGUUGCAUCCCAAGUCACACUAGAAGUAAGUUGCUAAAGCAUGCUACGCUCUUGGGAACCGGUUCUACACAAGAAAAACAAGUCCUGUUCAUGAAGCCAGAAUAUGUAGAUCAUCAUUAUUAUUUGCAUCAUUUUUGAUCAAAUAAGUGGAAUGAAACAUAAUUUCAAUAUAAAUGAAAUGGCUUUGUAAUAAUGAUUCACUUUUCUGAGCAGUCUUUUGUAACUAUGAACCACACUUAAAGUUCCUUAUAUUCUAGGAUGCAGAACUAAACAUAAUAUUAUUGUACUCUGAACUGUCAUGCUUUACCUGAUCCAACAACAUUCUUUUUGAAAGGGAGGGGGUUCAAUUCAUAAAUGCAAGAAUUCAAGGAACCAUUUCAUUUCCCAAAAGCCAGUUUUUCGAGACAUUUCUCUCAAAUGUGCCACCCACAGUAACUAUUCUCAUAGAUUACAUUGAGAUUUACAUAAUUCAUAUUAAAUUACAAUUUGUCAGGAUAACAGCUGAUUCGCAUCUAAAUGUUAAACUUUAUUGUAGCACUACAUGGGUGAGUGAGAACAAGCCUGAAUGUGUUUCUCCCACUUCUCUCACACAGGCCGAAGGACUUUGUUAGCAUCCAGCUUUAAAGAAUCCUGGCUUGUCAUAUCAUCUGAAUGAGAGAUCAUGGAAACUCUGAUUAGUUUGUUUGGUUGGAUGCUGCAAGUCGCUUCUGGUGUGAGAGAAUAAGCCAUCAACAAAGACAUUGCCUAGGGGGUGCCAGGAUGUGUUACGAUCCUGUGGGGAGGCUUCUCUCGUUUCUGAUCACAACCAAACACAGUGAAGACAUCUGCCCUUGCACUUUGCUACUCUGCUGCUUAAUACGCAUGCCCAGAGUGGAACACAUCUCACCAUGUUAAAACAGUGGACAUGGCUCUUAAUGAGAGAUGCUGCAUUAUCACAGGAUGUCUUCCCCCCACACCACUGGAGAAAUUAUACUAUGUAGCUGGUAUUGCACCACCUGACAUGAAAGGACCAAGGCAGUGACAUCUCUGGCCCACCCUCUGUUCGGAUAUCAGUCAGCACACAAUCCCUUAAAUCAAGAAAUAGCUUUCUAAGAUCAACAGAGAUACUUGCAGGAACAUCUCAGCAAGCAAGAGUCCAAAAGUGGCAAGCUAAAACCUGGAACCUCAAUCCAUGGCUGAUACCAGAUGAGAGAUUCCCUCCUGGACACACAGAAGACUGGGUGACUUGGAAGGCACUGAACAGACUGCGCUCUGACAUCACAAGAGCCGACCUUAAGAAAUGGGGUUACAAAGUGGAGUCCACAACAUGCAAGCGUGGAGAAGCGCAAACCACAGACCCCCUAUUACAUUGCAAUCUGAGCCCUGCCACAUGCACAAUGGAGGACCUUCUUACAGUGACACCAGAGGCACUCAAGUGGCCACCUUCUGGUCUAAGGACAUUUAGUACAAUGCCAAGUUCUUAACUUUGUGUUUUUAAGUACAUGAUAACUAUACUCUCAAUUCACUUCUGACACAAUAAAUUUUCUUUUCUUUUA
Long non-coding RNA from Anolis carolinensis (green anole), 9063 nucleotides. RefSeq lists it as uncharacterized. The record is from RefSeq and is a predicted model, not a curated record. The transcript is spliced from 4 exons. NCBI's taxonomy places the organism in Eukaryota, Metazoa, Chordata, Lepidosauria, Squamata, Anolidae.